This 674-nucleotide long non-coding RNA is filed under the name Mus musculus (house mouse). Its description in RNAcentral is "predicted gene, 44366". Lineage: Eukaryota; Metazoa; Chordata; Mammalia; Rodentia; Muridae. The record is from RNAcentral.
AGGCAGAGUCCACAGCCGAGUAGGACUAGAACUGUGAAGUUCUGAAGAACAUAGUCUGCAGAGUUGGGUAGAAAGAUAGGAGAACUGGGGUAAAGAAAGAAGCAGGUUGAAAGUCACAGGAACCUUAGAGGGGGCUGGAAUGAUGUAGUCAACUGGCAGAGUGUGAGACUAGCAUGCAUGAAGCCAUGGGGUUAUUCCCUGUCAUUGAUGAUGCAUAUGUCAUUCCAGGCUUACAUAGAGAGCCCUCAAGUCUAGCCUGGGCUACAUGAGACCCUGUGUCAAAAACCAAAUCAAAACCUAGACAAAAUACUCUAACUAGUAAUAUGUUAUAAGUAAAAAUAUCCAGGAAGAUUAAUGGGACUACUCACAUUUUAGUUCAGGAAUAAAAGAAUCAACAUAUACAAGAUGUUUUUAAAGGAACAAUGAAGAAUAAAAAUUUGCUUCAUGGGAAUACCCAAAUUCACAUUUUUGAUAAGGCAGUCUGGCUUGGUAACAAGCACCUUUACAAGCAAGCCAUCCUGUUCCUGUCACUAGAAGGAUUUAGUUACCCAGUUAUUUAAACCAUUCACUUCUUUUGUUUGGUCAUCAAUUGGGCUUAUAAGUGAUAAUGAGUUUGAGGACAGUGUAACCCAAACAAAACUAAACAAGUAGAUAAUAUUUAUUCAGCUUAUGGU